Penaeus monodon (black tiger shrimp) is the source of this 263-nucleotide long non-coding RNA. RefSeq lists it as uncharacterized. The record is from RefSeq and is a predicted model, not a curated record. The transcript is spliced from 3 exons. Lineage: Eukaryota; Metazoa; Arthropoda; Malacostraca; Decapoda; Penaeidae.
AGUGUACAAGUUGUUUAGAUAAUGCUAGUCUUUGCUGAAGCACAGAAUCUGUGGUUGAUUCAAGACAGUGCAAAGGCAUUUGGCAUCAAAUUGUAGGCUUUCCAUCAGAUAUUUCAAUUCUUAAUCAUGGCUUUAACAGUACCCAAUGCCAUGGAUACAAUUGAUUCAGCCCAGAAGAAUGCAAUUGUACAUGAUCAAGAGUAUUUACUGCAGGGAUCAGUGUUGGAUGCAUCACUGUUAGUAGUGAUCGAUAGACUACGAGA